GACGUAGGGCGCGAGCGUUGUCCGGAUUUAUUGGGCGUAAAGAGCUCGUAGGCGGCUUGUUGCGUCAGCUGUGAAAACCCGCAGCUCAACUGUGGGCUUGCAGCUGAUACGGGCAGGCUUGAGUUCGGUAGGGGAGACUGGAAUUCCUGGUGUAGUGGUGGAAUGCGUAGAUAUCGGGAGGAACACCAGUGGCGAAGGCGGUUGCCUGGAGCUUUGCUGACGCUGAGGCGCGAAAGCGUGGGGAGCGAUCCGG
Molecule: ribosomal RNA, 253 nt
Filed under: uncultured bacterium
Lineage: Bacteria
Description: partial 16S ribosomal RNA
Rfam family: Bacterial small subunit ribosomal RNA
Source: RNAcentral